UAGAUCCAAGUAAAACAGUAACCAUAGGUUUUUCGUCAAUUCUGUAGUAAGAGUCGUUGGCCUCCACCUCUUCGGACUCCACCGUCGGUUCUUCAAGGUUUUCAUGAUAAUUUUUUAGAGCAUCAGUCAACUCAUCAAUUGGAAUGGAUGCUUCGGAAAACAGCAUCUUAAUUUUUUUCAAUGUCACUGUAUUUUCAACGCAUAACCACGAAAGGAUAAGAACUGUAGAUUGGAAAGGAAACAGUCCAUGAUCAAUUUGUUGGAGAAACCAUUUGGUACUCUUUUCCUCCGAAUCAGGACUAAAAUCAAGUUUUCUGCUUUGGUCAAUACCUUUGAGUUGGAUUCUCAAGCGAUCGUAAAUUUUGAAAAGGCGUUUCAUUUUUUCAAAGUCAUUUUCAAUGAAUUUCCGUAAAAAGCGCACCCUUUCUACGGUGUCAGCAGGUAAAGAUCGAAAUAAAGAUGCCAGAAUAGCUAAUAUAUGUUCCAGAGUAUCGGCUGCAGAUAUUUUCAUAAACGCAGCAAAAAUAUAUUUCAAACCGCCUGCUUCUACAAAUCGAAUACAAUAAGGAGUGGAAAGAGGCCCAAAUAAAAGAUAGUCCAAAACUUUGAUUGUAGAAUAACGGCUUUUUCCUUUAUGUUUCAUAUUUAGUAUGCAUAAUUCAAUACCUUCCUCUUUUAGAAAAAGGGAUUUUCCUUUCGUUUCUUGAACCAGACUACAUAAGCAAUCAAACACGUUUUCCAUCAUUUCUUCUUCUGAUCCUUGGGUUGGAUCACGAAGCCUAUAAGGACUGAUCCGGCGCAACAAAAGAUCAAUCCCAUUCAAGUUGCACACUUUCAAUUUAGCUUCUUUUGAAUUAGCGAGAAUGAUAGCUAAAAUUUCAACAGCGUACUGCAAAUUAGUUGAUAUAGAAGUUUCAUCAACAGACGAUCUACUCAGUAACCAUUCUACCAAUGUUGUGUUUUCAACUAUUAUUGAACAAAUGCUAUUGUCCACAGAUAAUAAAUUCUCCAUAAGAGAGAGCACACAAUAUACUCCAUGUCGGUCUUCCUCAUUAGAUUCGUCAAACCUUUUGAUUGUAUUUGAAAGCAAAGGAAGCAAACCAGAAUCUAUAAGGGAAGUAAAUAAGGAGUUUAAUGCGUCUGGGUCAACAUCCUCGUCAGUCAGUUCUAUCAAUAGCUCCAAUACCGUAAUAGUAAUAUCCGCAUUUUCAUGGUUCAUUAAUUCUAAAAACGUGGAAACACAAUCUAAUUUAAGGAAAAUGGGUAUGAGGAUAGGAUACUCUGAAAGCACAUUGAAGCUUCGAAUUUCCAGAUCAAGAUCUGCCUCUGAUUCUAUAAACCUUUGAGGAGAAGUAGAAUACUUGAUGCGUAACUCCUGAUUAUUAUUAAUUGUUUUUUCAAGUCGUACUACCAUGCGCUUCAAUUCAGUAGGAGUCAAUGAAGCAGGUUCUUCCUGGGCUUCCUGUUCGUCUAAAAAGUCUAAAACGGUUUUUUCACUCUUUUUAAGCCCACUUCCAAAAAAUCUACCUCCUUCCUCGUCAAAUUCUUCAUUCUCCUCAUCGCUAUUCUCUUCAGCGAGUCUUCUGCGACUACUAGCUGGCUCCAAAGAGUCUGCUUCCUCAGGGUUCCUUUUCUUAUUUGUUUCCUCGGUAUUUUUAAAAAUUGAAUCUACAUCCAUUUAGAAUAAUGUAUUUUUUAUGCGCCAGUUUCCUUUUCAAAUUGAAUAUAUGAAAACCGUCUGAUACAAAAUAAAUAAUUUUGACAAACUUAUAUUUUAUAGCCGCAUCAAGUAAAAUAAAAGCCUUAUGAAAAGACUAUCGUGCAAUUCAAUUAUAACGCCUGACUCGUUCCUAAAAUUCCUCUCGUUUACCAGUUCAAGUAAAAGCUAGGUAAGAUGUAGGCAUGUACAAAGUGUAUCAAAAGUGAAAACCAGAAUCUAAGCUUGGAAAAAAAUAAUAACAGCAAGUAAAUUCCCCUCUGUUUUAUAAAUAUUAUACAACUCUUAUAUCCAAGAAAGGAGAGAUUGGAAGAAGGAUAAAAAGUGUUUAUUUAAGAGAAGAGAAGCUAAAUAAAGUGCAUGCAGUUAACUCGAAAUUUUUUAGGUUGAUUAAAUAAGGAA
RNAcentral lists this long non-coding RNA (2119 nucleotides) under Schizosaccharomyces pombe (fission yeast). Lineage: Eukaryota; Fungi; Ascomycota; Schizosaccharomycetes; Schizosaccharomycetales; Schizosaccharomycetaceae. The record is from RNAcentral.